This is a long non-coding RNA of Armigeres subalbatus, 1109 nucleotides long. RefSeq lists it as uncharacterized. The transcript has 5 exons. NCBI's taxonomy places the organism in Eukaryota, Metazoa, Arthropoda, Insecta, Diptera, Culicidae. The record is from RefSeq and is a predicted model, not a curated record.
CACCCAGCAAACAAUCAGUUCGACGUUAGAGACUAGUUAGGGGAUGUUAAUUAUGUUUUUUAAAUAAUUUUUAUGAUUUUAUGCUGUUACAAUAGUAGUAGUGCGUGUCUGUUUUCAAUGUUGUCACUUUGCUUAUGUAUAAAUAGUCGCACUGCUGAGGUACUGGUAAAAAAAAAAUAUAAGAAAACUGAAAUGCCUGAAAUUCCAACGAAUGCUCUGAUCCGUGCGGUCCGUUUUCUUCUGAUGACGUUCACAAGAGGUCGUAUGAAUGCCGGUACCAAUUACAUUCUCGCACCACUCAAAAAAUCCUAUGACGGCGGAUUCGAGUAUACCGUACGGAUUCACAUGGAUGUGCUGCUGCCUACGAUGUUCAUCACGUCGUGUGAUUACCUGCAUCAAGCUGCCUCCGGAACUCAUAUACUGCAGCUGGACAAACUGCACUUUUAACGGCGGAUACCGUGAAUCAAUCAGACACUGCCCGCAUGGAAGCCGGCACCAAACCACCUCCGUAGUCAUCUAUCGAAUGUGGCAACGAGAUCAAUUUAAUCGGAUUUACUGAGCAUUUCAACGGCAUGGAACAAGUCAUGGACUACAUUUCAGCGAGCAUUUCAGUGCCGAAGAGAAAUGGAAUUACAGUGAACGUUCGCUAAUUGGGGUUUUUCUAGUUGGGGCGCUUUUUAGUUGGGGGUUCGCUAAUUGGGGCGAAACCCAAUUAAAAAGCAGCUAAACGUCAGAAUGUGAUGUCAAAAACGCGUUGACGUUUUGUUUCCGUGUUUGGCGGGAUCGAUAAUUUCUGGCGCGUAAAAUUUUCCUUUGUUCAAUGCAAGAAGUAAACAACAUUGACGCUUGUCAAAACGCCCCAAUUAGCGAACGGCAUUCGCUAGUUGGGGUGAGGUCGUGCCCCAAUUAGCGAACGAUCACUGUAUAAGAAGAAGCAAUUAGAUAAGCGUUUAAAAACGGAUGUAGAUACGUACCAACAGAAAAGAGCCCAUCCGGAUGCAAUCUGAUGAGCUGGUAGCGGAUGCAAUUCGAGAAUUGCAAGAGGAAUUUUCAAUUUUCAUUAUGCGGUUUCGGACCGAACGUAACUCCGCAUAUCCUUUUUCGGCAAA